ACAUUUAAUCUGCUCUUGAAACCCUCCUCCGCACUGGUGCGAGAAAUCCAUAUCUCUCACCCAAAACAUCACUCAAAGCUGCAAAAUAUACCUGCCAAGGAAUACAUUCAUGAAUGUGAAACAUGACAGCAAAGCAUCUUUUUAUGUAUAAAUAUAUGUGGCUCUGAAAAAAAUGGACCAUCAGUACUGGGUGACCAUGAGCACCAGGAAGUCUGAUGGUCAUAUGUUUGCAGCCAGCCAAUUUACCUGGAGUAAGUGACUCACUGGGAGAAAGAAAUCAGGAAGAUGAGAAUGCCAAGAUCAGCAACAUCUACUUCUACACAGCCAAGAAGGAGAAAACUGGACUGUAGUUUUCUUCACAUCCUCUGCCAGCAAAGCAGGUAAAUGUGAGCUCUGGCGCCACCUACAGGUGAGCUGAGCAAACACAAAUGAACUGAGCGUCG
RNAcentral lists this long non-coding RNA (443 nucleotides) under Scleropages formosus (Asian bonytongue). Its description in RNAcentral is "lncRNA (ENSSFOG00015028282.1)". Lineage: Eukaryota; Metazoa; Chordata; Actinopteri; Osteoglossiformes; Osteoglossidae. The record is from RNAcentral.